RNAcentral lists this transfer RNA (71 nucleotides) under Loxodonta africana (African savanna elephant). It matches the Rfam family "tRNA". From Rfam's summary of the family: Transfer RNA (tRNA) molecules are approximately 80 nucleotides in length. The record is from Rfam by way of RNAcentral. Lineage: Eukaryota; Metazoa; Chordata; Mammalia; Proboscidea; Elephantidae.
ACAUUGAUGGUUCAGUGGUAGAAUUCUCACCUUCUGUGCUGAAGACCCAGGUUCAAUUCCUGGCCAGUGCA